AUUGAACGCUGGCGGCAUGCUUUACACAUGCAAGUCGAACGGCAGCGCGGGCUUCGGCCUGGCGGCGAGUGGCGAAUGGGUGAGUAAUGCAUCGGAACGUGCCCAGUAGUGGGGGAUAGCCCGGCGAAAGCCGGAUUAAUACCGCAUACGACCUGAGGGUGAAAGCGGGGGACCGAAAGGCCUCGCGCUAUUGGAGCGGCCGAUGUCGGAUUAGCUAGUUGGUGGGGUAAAGGCUUACCGAGGCGACGAUCCGUAGCUGGUCUGAGAGGACGACCAGCCACACUGGGACUGAGACACGGCCCAGACUCCUACGGGAGGCAGCAGUGGGGAAUUUUGGACAAUGGGGGCAACCCUGAUCCAGCCAUGCCGCGUGCGGGAAGAAGGCCUUCGGGUUGUAAACCGCUUUUGUUCGGGAAGAAAUCCUCUGGGCUAACACCCCGGGGGGAUGACGGUACCGGAAGAAUAAGCACCGGCUAACUACGUG
RNAcentral lists this ribosomal RNA (484 nucleotides) under uncultured bacterium. RNAcentral describes it as "partial 16S ribosomal RNA". It matches the Rfam family "Bacterial small subunit ribosomal RNA", at positions 28 to 507 of the family's 1533-position model. The record is from RNAcentral.